Molecule: unclassified non-coding RNA, 174 nt
Filed under: uncultured Myxotrichaceae
Lineage: Eukaryota; Fungi; Ascomycota; Leotiomycetes; Myxotrichaceae
Description: sequence contains ITS1
Source: RNAcentral
CCGAGUUCUCGCCCCUCGCGGGGUAGACCUCCCACACCCACUGUGAUCACUACCGUCGUUGCUUUGGCGGGCCGCCGGGCCCCGCCCGGCCACCGGCUACGGCCGGCGCGCGCCCGCCAGAGGCCCUACAAACGCUGGAUAUCAGUGCCGUCUGAGUACCAUUUUCAAUCGUUA